This 177-nucleotide ribosomal RNA is filed under the name uncultured bacterium. Its description in RNAcentral is "partial 16S ribosomal RNA". It matches the Rfam family "Bacterial small subunit ribosomal RNA", at positions 335 to 524 of the family's 1533-position model. The record is from RNAcentral.
ACUCCUACGGGAGGCAGCAGUGGGGAAUAUUGGACAAUGGACGAAAGCCUGAUGCAGCAACGCCGCGUGAGGGAUGACGGCCUUCGGGUUGUAAACCUCUUUUAGUAGGGAAGAAGCGAAAGUGACGGUACCUGCAGAAAAAGCACCGGCUAACUACGUGCCAGCAGCCGCGGUAAU